AACUUCCCCCAUUUCGCAUGUGCGGGCAACUUACGCACACACAUUUUGCUGAGAAGCAAUCGGGAUAAAAGAGGGAUGGUUUAUACACAAGCGCCCCAAAGCCGAGAAACAUUAUGUUAUCGUGAAUCAAGCGCCAUGCAGAUAUAAACAGCCCUUGCUGCCCGCCCGAUUAACAGACAGCUCGACCUGAUGUUUUCACAAAAUCAUUCAACGGAUGAAGCAUGAGUGUACAGGAAUAUUCAAAAGGGAAAUUACAUGUAGGAGUAUUUACAGUUCGACCUGAUGUUUUCUCAUACACAUACAGUAUAGCCUCAAUAUAUCAUUCAACGUUUGGAGCGUGACUGUGUACUACAACUGUUUCAUUCACUAGUGUUUAUGACUACAGGAAUUCUAAAGGGAAUUACAUGUAAGACUGAGUAUUUGUAAGUACAAUAUAUAAUCAUUCAUAAAAAGUAUAUACAACAACAACUGUAUGCCCGUGCACGCGCUGGAAAAAAACUUAAGUUUCUUCCAUAACCCCCAUAAAGCUGAAUGAAUGAUACAAUAGUUAGUUCCAUCA
This is a long non-coding RNA of Lineus longissimus, 559 nucleotides long. RefSeq lists it as uncharacterized. The transcript is spliced from 5 exons. NCBI's taxonomy places the organism in Eukaryota, Metazoa, Nemertea, Pilidiophora, Heteronemertea, Lineidae. The record is from RefSeq and is a predicted model, not a curated record.